AUGGCUGCAUUCACAUGGAUUCAAAUGUCUUCUUUACUGAUACUGAUGCUUCAGUUUAACGGAACAGCCGAGCAAUAUUCACCUGUUUACGCUGUCAGAGCUGAACAUGACGUUACUUUGCCUUGUAAAAAUUUGAUACAUAAUAAAUGUAAAAGUACUACCUGGCUGUUCAGUGAUUCAGGAAGCACAAGAACACUCUUUGAAAAUGGGCAGAUUCACAAAGAUACCCAGACUAAAUCAGACAGACUGACUGUUAAAAAUAAAAACUGUUCUCUGGUUAUAAAGAAGGUCUCAGUUGAGGAUGUUGGUCGUUACACCUGCAGAAAGUUCAACAAAUCAGGACAACAACAAGGUCCAGACAUUCAGGCUGAUCUGACUGUUAUCAGCAUCACUAAACAUGAGAACCAUGGCGACGUCAUGUUGAACUGCUCUGUAUUUGCCUAUGGACACUGUGGGCACAAAGUGGAGUGGCUGUAUGAGGAUGAAAAGAAAAUAUCAGACAUGAAGAUCUCGGCAGGUCGAUGCACUUCUACUGUGACAUUUACAAGAUCUGACCUGUCCAAGUUUUCUAAGCUGUUAAAGUGUAAUGUAACAGAUACUUCCACCAAAAAUGUGACAAUCUUUCCCUUCAAACCUCAAAAGUCUUCAGAUAAAGAUGCAAAUAAGACAAAAUCCACAAUGGCAUCAACUUCCACCACAACAGCAAAUUUAAUGCCAACACUGAAAACAUCAUUGUCAUCAACAAUAUCAUCAACAUCGUCAACAGCAGCAUCAUCAACAAUAAUAUCAUCAACACUGUCAUCAAUAUUGUCAUCAGUAUUGUCAACAACAGGAUCAUCAACAUCAAUGGAAGUAAAGACAUCAGCAGUGACACCGGUGUAUCAGAAAGCAUCAGGAAAUCAGUUAUGGUUUAUUAUUGUUCCUGUGGGAUUAGCAGGACUCUUAAUAACUGCUGUGGUAGUCACCAGAUGGAAGAAAAAUGCAGAAAACCAGAAACUUCUGUCUGACAGCACUGAUGAAGCUGAGAAUGAUGUUUCAUACGUCACCAUCAGCUUCACCAAGAAGGCCCAAAACAAAGCCCAGGCACGUUGUGGUGAUGAUGAAGGUGACACUGUGACCUACAGCACUGUGAAAGCUUCCUCUUCAUCUGCUGGCGGUUUUACAGAUUCAAGCAACCUUUAUUCCACCAUUAAUAAACUAAAGAAAGAAAAUAAAUAG
RNAcentral lists this long non-coding RNA (1218 nucleotides) under Oreochromis niloticus (Nile tilapia). RNAcentral describes it as "lncRNA (ENSONIG00000033035.1)". The record is from RNAcentral. Lineage: Eukaryota; Metazoa; Chordata; Actinopteri; Cichliformes; Cichlidae.